RNAcentral lists this ribosomal RNA (106 nucleotides) under Escherichia coli. RNAcentral's name for it is "partial 16S ribosomal RNA". It matches the Rfam family "Bacterial small subunit ribosomal RNA", at positions 1 to 104 of the family's 1533-position model. RNAcentral also lists the same sequence under 28 other names. Lineage: Bacteria; Pseudomonadati; Pseudomonadota; Gammaproteobacteria; Enterobacterales; Enterobacteriaceae. The record is from RNAcentral.
UUAAAUUGAAGAGUUUGAUCAUGGCUCAGAUUGAACGCUGGCGGCAGGCCUAACACAUGCAAGUCGAACGGUAACAGGAAGCAGCUUGCUGCUUUGCUGACGAGUG